UACGUAGGUGGCGAGCGUUGUCCGGAUUUACUGGGCGUAAAGGGAGCGUAGGCGGACUUUUAAGUGAGAUGUGAAAUACCCGGGCUCAACUUGGGUGCUGCAUUUCAAACUGGAAGUCUAGAGUGCAGGAGAGGAGAAUGGAAUUCCUAGUGUAGCGGUGAAAUGCGUAGAUAUUAGGAGGAACACCAGUGGCGAAGGCGACUUACUGGACUGUAGCUGACGCUGAGGCGCGAAAGCGUGGGGAGCAAACAGGAUUAGAUACCCU
Molecule: ribosomal RNA, 265 nt
Filed under: uncultured prokaryote
Description: partial 16S ribosomal RNA
Rfam family: Bacterial small subunit ribosomal RNA
Source: RNAcentral